GGGCUAUUGGUCUAGGGGUAUGAUUUUCGCUUCGCAUCGUCCUCUUCUCUUGAAGUGGUUCGCAGCGCCUGUGAACGGUCACCGGUUCAAAUCCGGUAUAGUCCA
Podospora conica is the source of this 105-nucleotide non-coding RNA. NCBI's taxonomy places the organism in Eukaryota, Fungi, Ascomycota, Sordariomycetes, Sordariales, Podosporaceae. The record is from the annotation of a GenBank genome assembly.